This 70-nucleotide transfer RNA is filed under the name Dipodomys ordii (Ord's kangaroo rat). It matches the Rfam family "tRNA". Rfam says of the family: Transfer RNA (tRNA) molecules are approximately 80 nucleotides in length. Their secondary structure includes four short double-helical elements and three loops (D, anti-codon, and T loops). Lineage: Eukaryota; Metazoa; Chordata; Mammalia; Rodentia; Heteromyidae. The record is from Rfam by way of RNAcentral.
GGGAAGGUGGCUCAGUGGUAGAGUGCUUGCCUCAUAUGCAUGAGGUCCUGGGUUCGAUUCCUCAGCCCCA